UUAACUAUUAUAUAGUACUCAGACGACAUGUAUAAACAGAGUUUGGAGUCCUCUGGCGAGCACUCACCAGCGUGAGCCGGUGGCCGAGGCGGCUCGCCAAAGCAACAAAGGUAUAAUUUAACAUAGGGUUGGAGAGUCACCCUCGCGGGCGAGUUUCUCUGUAAUGAUCCCUCCGCAGGUUCACCUACGGAGA
This 193-nucleotide unclassified non-coding RNA is filed under the name uncultured fungus. Its description in RNAcentral is "sequence contains ITS1". Lineage: Eukaryota; Fungi. The record is from RNAcentral.